Molecule: long non-coding RNA, 2514 nt
Organism: Prunus persica (peach)
Lineage: Eukaryota; Viridiplantae; Streptophyta; Magnoliopsida; Rosales; Rosaceae
Exons: 3
Source: RefSeq, a predicted model, not a curated record
CAACAUUUAGAGAUGCAUGCCACAGCGGAAGAUGGAAGAAAGAUUCUGAAAUAUUCUCAAAAUUAAGGAAAAUAUUGUCUUUAUUUGGUCGAAUUUCCAAAUAUCCAAUUAUUUGGUAUUUGGUGUUUAUUCAAAACGACCCUACCUUGUAUUUGCGGUACGAAAUAAAAGAAGAAAACGCAAGUCUAACAAGAAUUUUUUUAAAAAAAAUGCAAAAAUGUAAAUGACAAUAUUGCCAUUUGACUGAAAGGAUGUUAAACAAAUGUAGAUUUAUGGGUGACCACAUUCACAGUCAUUGAUGAGUCACACACAGAUGCAAAGUUUAACGAACAAUGUCGCACUCUGAACUACAAAGUCAAUCCCCAUUAUAUUCGAAUCAUAGCCACCUUUGGAGAGGGAUUUUUUUUUUCUUUCCUCUUUAUCCUGUACAUCAGUGUUUUUGUCUGAGCGCCUGACAAAACCAAAGGGUGGAGGGUAAGACUCGAAUUUCAUCGUAAUGGGUUCAUGUAUGUCUAGGGUUACAGAGAUUGAAAACACGACAGACCAGACUCUGGAACUGAGAGAAUGUCCGGAGGGGGAUCCAGAAGGGAAAGGAAGUGAACCAAUUCUGCUUCAUCCGCACAAGUCCAAGUGGAUCUCUGCAACUAAAUUUUGUCAACACAGCCACGAUGCCGCUAGACCACGGCACUUAAUUCUGGUUUCCUCCAACGGGGGUGGAGGGAAUCCUGAGACCUUCGCCACAACUGAUUUCAUCACCUUCGAAAAGUUCGUUAUCUUUCCGAGGGAAAACGGGAACAUCGGGGUCCAGACAUCCCGUGCUAAAGGGACCGGAUUCCGAAGAAUCAAGUUGGUCAAAUGCUUAACCAGUUUCAUUCAGCUCCGAUGAGCAAGCAGAUACGAGAACCUUGCAGUUUUUUGAAACACAUUUGACGUUGAAAUCCUCUCACUCUUUGCAACCUUUAUCCGGAUAUUGACUGCCUAAAUUCUUGGUGAGUGUGCUGCAUUUGCUACUACCAUUGCCAUUGCAACUGCUAUUUCUUUGAGAAUUUUGUUGUGCUCCUCAAUUAAAUUUGGUUUUAUUUGAUUUCUUGUAAUUCUUUGGCAUUUUGGAUUUUCUUCACUGAAUCCGAUUGUAUGCAAUUUUGAAAUGGGAAGAUGAAGAUGUCGAGAAUUGAAAGAAGAAGAAAGCAUAUGGAGACUGGAAGAUGCUAUUGUCAAGAGGAACUUUUGUAAAUCUGUAAAAUAUGUAGAUACUCAUAGUUGUACAAAGAAUUAUUGUAACAAAAUUUAUUUGUUUUUGGUAUUUGAGUUUUUUUUAAAUUUUUAAAUUUUUUAUUAUAAAAGUUUGCAUUUUUAGCCACAGUUAUUUGUGUCCAUAUUGAAUAAAAUAUAUUAUUUUAAUAUUCUCCAAGAGUUGAUAAAGAGGUAGAGUAUAGGUGGGGCACAGCUACCAUCUUAGUCAUUUAUCAAAAGAGUUUUUCUAUUUAAAUCUCAUACUUCUCUUUGUUCACUCCAUAUUCUAAGUUCACCCUGACUUCUAAUUCAAAUUUUCUCAAUUCUAAGAAAACCCCACUAUUUUCCCAAACUACCCCUAAAUACACACCCAACAGAAGAAAAAAAAUUAAAAAAAACUCAUCAACUUUACACCCCACACCCCACACAUCGCUAUCUUAUUCCUCACCACUCUAAGUGCAUCCCAACCUCAGAAUUACAGCAAAUAUUUAAUCACAACAUCCUCAAUAAUUCUGGGAGGAGUCCCAAACCAAGAAAUAAACUCACAUUACAUACCUCAAUUGAUGACCCACAAGCCACUAUUUGCAUACCGUGCUUCGGGUUUAUGAAGAGAAGAUGAGAGUGUAGUAGGUUUCUUGGAUUGAAAGAGAAGAGUAAUAUAGCAAUAGGGUGUAGAUGAGUUUGUGUUUUUCUAAAACUUAAUAUGAAGAGUGGUGGGGUGUGUGGGUGUAUAGAUGUACUAGGGUUAAGUAUUAAGUCAGAUGAUAUUUUUUGUCUUUUUACACAACAAUAAAACUUAAGAGCUUAAUGAUUUAAGUAUUGAGGUAAACAAAGAAAAGUGUGGGGUUUAAAUAGAAAAACUCUAUCACAAUAUAAGCACAAAUGCUUCAUUUGUGCUUUAAUUGUCUGACACGAACUGAUGAAUUUGUGCUCUAUAAGCAAUGUAAACUCCUAUACUAGAGACCAACAACUUCAUAGUGGCUGCACCGUAAGUAUUUUCAUAGAGCACAAUUAUUCAUGUUCUUUGACAUAAAGAGCACAAAUGGAAUUCGUGCUUUUACCGCAGUUUUCUAGUAGUGUAGGUAAGCUAAAUACAAAAUAUCCUAUGGUUUUACCUAUGCUAAUUCGUAGAUAUACUAAUUUACAAAAUAUCAUACUAAUUUACCUACAUAUAUGUACUUGUACAUAUUAAUUUAUCAGCACUUAAACAGAUUAUUAAUUUACCUAUACUAAUUCAUAAGUAUACUAAUUUAUAAAUAUCAUACUAAAUUUACCUAUAUU